UACGUAGGGGGCGAGCGUUGUCCGGAUUCAUUGGGCGUAAAGCGCGCGUAGGCGGCUUCGCAAGUCGGCCGUGAAAUCUCCGGGCUCAACUCGGAGGGGUCGGGCGAGACUGCGAGGCUCGAGGUGGGCAGAGGGCAGUGGAAUUCCGGGUGUAGUGGUGGAAUGCGUAGAGAUCCGGAGGAACACCAGUGGCGAAGGCGGCUCACUGGACCACAACUGACGCUGAGGCGCGAAAGCUAGGGGAGCAAACAGG
Molecule: ribosomal RNA, 253 nt
Filed under: uncultured bacterium
Lineage: Bacteria
Description: partial 16S ribosomal RNA
Rfam family: Bacterial small subunit ribosomal RNA
Source: RNAcentral